GAUGAACGCUGGCGGCGUGCCUAAUACAUGCAAGUCGAGCGAACGGACGAGAAGCUUGCUUCUCUGAUGUUAGCGGCGGACGGGUGAGUAACACGUGGAUAACCUACCUAUAAGACUGGGAUAACUUCGGGAAACCGGAGCUACUACCGGAUGAUAUUUUGAACCGCAUGGUUCAAAAGUGAAAGACGGUCUUGCUGUCACUUAUAGAUGGAGCCGCGCUGCAUUAGCUAGUUGGUAAGGUAACGGCUUACCAAGGCAACGAUGCAUAGCCGACCUGAGAGGGUGAUCGGCCACACUGGAACUGAGACACGGUCCAGACUCCUACGGGAGGCAGCAGUAGGGAAUCUUCCGCAAUGGGCGAAAGCCUGACGGAGCAACGCCGCGUGAGUGAUGAAGGUCUUCGGAUCGUAAAACUCUGUUAUUAGGGAAGAACAUAUGUGUAAGUAACUGUGCACAUCUUGACGGUACCUAAUCAGAAAGCCACGGCUAACUACGUG
RNAcentral lists this ribosomal RNA (497 nucleotides) under uncultured bacterium. Its description in RNAcentral is "partial 16S ribosomal RNA". It matches the Rfam family "Bacterial small subunit ribosomal RNA", at positions 28 to 507 of the family's 1533-position model. The record is from RNAcentral.